This 227-nucleotide long non-coding RNA is filed under the name Populus tremula. Its description in RNAcentral is "long non-coding RNA (PTRE_LNC000720)". Lineage: Eukaryota; Viridiplantae; Streptophyta; Magnoliopsida; Malpighiales; Salicaceae. The record is from RNAcentral.
UGUUUCUCUUACUGUUUUAUUAGGUUUCAGGUGUUAUUAGGGUGGAAUAUCCUUGCUGUUUCUCAGAUUUAUUAGCUUAGGUAAUGGAAGUUAAGUGUCUCUAGUUUUCUUCUAAAUACCAACUAUUGCCCAAGCUAGGUCGAGUGGAUGGACUUGUUUAAUUGCUUUGAUGCAUUACAUUAGUUAGUCCAAUAGCUGUCCUUAGGUUGAUUUGCAAUCUAUGGUUC